Non-coding RNA from Actinoplanes sp. N902-109, 137 nucleotides. NCBI's taxonomy places the organism in Bacteria, Bacillati, Actinomycetota, Actinomycetes, Micromonosporales, Micromonosporaceae. The record is from Rfam.
GGCAGAGUGGGGGUCCACGAGCGGCGACGCCGUGGAGGAAGCCGGUGCGAAUCCGGCGCGGUCCCGCCACUGUGAACGGGCACGGCGAAAGCCACGCAGCCCGGCAGUCAGGAACUCCUUGUCGCCGUGUUUCCUUC